AUUGAACGCUGGCGGCAGGCCUAACACAUGCAAGUCGAGCGAGCGGCGGACGGGUGAGUAAUGUAUGGGGACUGCCCGAUAGAGGGGGCUAACUACUGGAAACGGUAGCUAAUACCGCAUACUAUCGGAUAACCCAUAUGGGAUUAGCUAGUAGGUGAGGUAAUGGCUCACCUAGGCGACGCUCCCUAGCUGGUCUGAGAGGAUGAUCAGCCACACUGGGACGGAGACACGGCCCAGACUCCUACGGAGGCAGCAGUGGGGAAUAUUGCACAAGGGGCGAAAGCCUGAUGCAGCCAUGCGGCGUGUAGGAAGAAGGCCCUAGGUUUGUAAAGUACGUUCAGUCGGGAGGCGUUACCGACAGAAGAAGCACCGGCUAACUCCGUGCCAGCAGCCGCGGUAAUUC
This 403-nucleotide ribosomal RNA is filed under the name uncultured bacterium. RNAcentral's name for it is "partial 16S ribosomal RNA". It matches the Rfam family "Bacterial small subunit ribosomal RNA", at positions 30 to 526 of the family's 1533-position model. The record is from RNAcentral.